This 253-nucleotide ribosomal RNA is filed under the name uncultured bacterium. Its description in RNAcentral is "partial 16S ribosomal RNA". It matches the Rfam family "Bacterial small subunit ribosomal RNA", at positions 524 to 776 of the family's 1533-position model. The record is from RNAcentral.
UACGUAGGGUGCAAGCGUUGUCCGGAAUUAUUGGGCGUAAAGAGCUCGUAGGCGGUUUGUCGCGUCCGCUGUGAAAAUCCAGGGCUUAACCCUGGACCUGCAGUGGGUACGGGCAGACUAGAGUGCGGUAGGGGAGAUCGGAAUUCCUGGUGUAGCGGUGAAAUGCGUAGAGAUCGGGAGGAACACCAGAGGCGAAGGCGGCGACCUGGACAGGUACUGACACUCAACUACGAAAGCGUGGGGAGCAAACAGG